RNAcentral lists this ribosomal RNA (253 nucleotides) under uncultured bacterium. Its description in RNAcentral is "partial 16S ribosomal RNA". It matches the Rfam family "Archaeal small subunit ribosomal RNA", at positions 474 to 727 of the family's 1478-position model. The record is from RNAcentral.
UACCAGCUCCUCGAGUGGUCGGGACGAUUAUUGGGCCUAAAGCACCCGUAGCCUGUUCAGUAAGUCCUCUGUUAAAUCCAAUUGCUCAACAGUUGGCACGCAGAGGAUACCGCUGGACUAGGAGGCGGGAGAGGCGGACGGUACUCCGCGUGUAGGGGUAAAAUCCUUUGAUCCGCGGAAGACCACCAGUGGCGAAGGCGGUCCGCCAGAACGCGCUCGACGGUGAGGGGUGAAAGCUGGGGGAGCGAACCGG